UAAUUAUAAAAAUGUCCCUCUGACUUCUUGUUGCUGAAAAUACACAGGCUGUUUUGUUUUCAAAAAAACAACAUGUUCUCUCCCUCUUGUUUUUCUAUUUUUGGCAGGUUCUACCAUGAAAACUGUGGUGAUUACUACAGCCGAAAGCUCAAGUAAGACCUAAGGUGACACCCUCUAGCAUGGAGCUUUAUAAAGAUGAACUUUAAAGCCAAUCUUCAGUCCAAAUCUAUGCCUGUAGGCUUCGGAUGAGAUUCAUUCUGGACUCGCUGGCAGCAAAAAGUGACAGAGCUCACCGACAGCAAUACUUGUGGAAAUGGCACGCUGCCGCCCCGCGUUGUGACCAAAGUGUGAUGAGUACAAGCCCAGAAACCAGGCUGCAAACCCCCAUGGCUCUCGGCAUCUCCAGACUUAGGUAUGUGCUUAACUUGAGGCAUCGGAUUAUCUCUAGUGAAGCUGAUGUCCUGCAAAGGGAGGCUGA
RNAcentral lists this long non-coding RNA (478 nucleotides) under Calidris pugnax (ruff). Its description in RNAcentral is "lncRNA (ENSCPUG00000009132.1)". Lineage: Eukaryota; Metazoa; Chordata; Aves; Charadriiformes; Scolopacidae. The record is from RNAcentral.